AUGUUAGACUUUUUUUUUAAUGAUAUUAUACAAUAAUUUAAAUUUUAAAGAAUACAAAUUAGUAAUUGUGGAUUUAUUAGAUGAUAAAAUAAUAAAAUAAAAUUGAUGAAAAAUAUAGGAUUAAGUGACAAUAAUGAUUUGGAUUUUUUUUUAGUCUGAAAAUUUGUAUUUUAUUAUAUCAUUCUUUUAAUACAAAAUUCAGAAUUUUUUUUAUAUAAAAUUAUUAUUAAACUCACUUAAAAUUUUUGAAAUUCUCAAGUUCUCAUACUCAUCAAAAUUUAAAGUAAGAAUAAACUUUUUUUUUAAAUUACUAUCAAGUCCUUAAAAAUUUUUAAAAUUUCAGGAGGGCUCAAUGCCCCUCCCCUUAGCUCCAGCUGGCUCCGCCCAUGUAUAUAAGCAACUUUCCGAUAUUGAAAUUGCUCUAGGUAGUGUUUGGACUUCAAUUUUGUCUGGUAGUAUAUGCAACCAGUUUAUAGUGCAAUGCCUCCCCCUUCUCUAUGUGCUUGGGGUUGCUUUUAUGAACACAAUAAUGGCGAGAUAUAAAAUAGUUGGCUUCUAAAUACUUUUCUGACCAUAUAUUUGGUGAAAUUAAAAAUGAACUCUUGGUAAUAGUGUGUGAUCUGUUCAAAUCAGGCCUCUUUCUUUUUUCUUUUUCUUUUUUUUUUUCAAUGCUAACAGUGGGUACAGGGCAUUUAAACUAAUAGGAGAUGCUUAUAUAAAUGCUUUGGUUCUUCCUUUAUGUCGAUAGCUUGUUUGAGUUUGGUUGUCUUGGAGCGUGAUGCAGGUCAGUAUUUGGUCAAGCCAAAUCAGAUAAUUCCUCAGCAUCAGAUCGUUAGAGAAGGGCUCCAGAAACUUAAUCUUACACUUCUAUAAGCAUUAUUUUCGAUGAUGCAUCUGGAACUGAAAUCUCUGUCAUGAAGACAAUCUUAAGUGCCACGUCACAGAUUUUGUUAAAAAAGUAAUAGUUGUAUUGCUGAAAGGCAUAAAGCACUGGUUUGCUUCUCAUUAAGCUGAAGAAAAUAAGAUUUUGCGUUGACCUAUAGUAAAAAGUAACAUGUUUAAGUUUUGGUAAUAUUUGGAGUGAAUUACUGCUCUCCUUCAAUAUUUUCUUUUGCAUUUCAUUUCAAGUGAAACAAGAGAGGCAAAUAUAGAAGCGACAGAAGUUCAUUUUUUUUUUUGCCCUCGUAUUCUGGUCAUGUUGCAGAGCAACAGGUUUCUUAAAAUGAUGACAGUUUAUGUAUUUUUAUUUUGUUCACCAGAACAUUGAGGGUGUCAAUAUCAUAUAGCAUUUGUGCUUCUA
This is a long non-coding RNA of Hevea brasiliensis (rubber tree), 1300 nucleotides long. RefSeq lists it as uncharacterized. The record is from RefSeq and is a predicted model, not a curated record. The transcript is spliced from 2 exons. Lineage: Eukaryota; Viridiplantae; Streptophyta; Magnoliopsida; Malpighiales; Euphorbiaceae.